CCUACGGGGGGCAGCAGUGGGGAAUAUUGCACAAUGGGCGCAAGCCUGAUGCAGCCAUGCCGCGUGUGUGAAGAAGGCCUUCGGGUUGUAAAGCACUUUCAGCGGGGAGGAAGGCGGUGAGAUUAAUACUCUCACCGAUUGACGUUACCCGCAGAAGAAGCACCGGCUAACUCCGUGCCAGCAGCCGCGGUAAUACGGAGGGUGCAAGCGUUAAUCGGAAUUACUGGGCGUAAAGCGCACGCAGGCGGUCUGUCAAGUCGGAUGUGAAAUCCCCGGGCUCAACCUGGGAACUGCAUUCGAAACUGGCAGGCUAGAUUCUUGUAGAGGGGGGUAGAAUUCCAGGUGUAGCGGUGAAAUGCGUAGAGAUCUGGAGGAAUACCGGUGGCGAAGGCGGCCCCCUGGACAAAGACUGACGCUCAGGUGCGAAAGCGUGGGGAGCAAACAGGAUUAGAUACCCCUGUAGUC
Molecule: ribosomal RNA, 465 nt
Filed under: uncultured bacterium
Lineage: Bacteria
Description: bacterial SSU rRNA
Rfam family: Bacterial small subunit ribosomal RNA
Source: RNAcentral